AGUAACUGCGAGUGAAGCGGGAAAAGCUCAAAUUUAAAAUCUGGCGGUCUUUGGCCGUCCGAGUUGUAGUCUGGAGAAGUGCUUUCCGCGCUGGACCGUGUAUAAGUCUCUUGGAACAGAGCGUCAUAGAGGGUGAGAAUCCCGUCUUUGACACGGACUACCAGUGCUUUGUGAUGCGCUCUCGAAGAGUCGAGUUGUUUGGGAAUGCAGCUCAAAAUGGGUGGUGAAUUCCAUCUAAAGCUAAAUAUUGGCGAGAGACCGAUAGCGAACAAGUACCGUGAGGGAAAGAUGAAAAGCACUUUGGAAAGAGAGUUAAACAGUACGUGAAAUUGCUGAAAGGGAAACGCUUGAAGUCAGUCGCGUUGUCCGGGACUCAGCCUUGCUUUCGCUUGGUGCACUUUCCGGAUAACGGGCCAGCAUCGAUUUUGACCGUCGGAAAAGGGCUAGGGUAAUGUGGCACCUCCGGGUGUGUUAUAGACCUUAGUCGCAUACGGCGGUCGGGAUCGAGGAACGCAGCGCGCCGCAAGGCAGGGGUUCGCCCACAUUCGCGCUUAGGAUGCUGGCGUAAUGGCUUUAAACGACCCGUCUUGAAACACGGACCAAGGAGUCUAACAUACCUGCGAGUGUUUGGGUGGUAAACCCGAGCGCGUAAUGAAAGUGAAAGUUGAGACCUCUGUCGUGGAGGGCAUCGACGCCCGGACCUGACGUUCUCUGACGGAUCCGCGGUAGAGCAUGUAUGUUGGGACCCGAAAGAUGGUGAACUAUGCCUGAAUAGGGUGAAGCCAGAGGAAACUCUGGUGGAGGCUCGUAGCGAUUCUGACGUGCAAAUCGAUCGUCAAAUUUGGGUAUAGGG
Molecule: ribosomal RNA, 853 nt
Filed under: Amauroderma sp.
Lineage: Eukaryota; Fungi; Basidiomycota; Agaricomycetes; Polyporales; Polyporaceae
Description: LSU rRNA
Rfam family: Eukaryotic large subunit ribosomal RNA
Source: RNAcentral